UACGAAGGGAGCUAGCGUUGUUCGGAAUUACUGGGCAUAAAGGGCGCGUAGGCGGCUCUGUAAGUCAGAUGUGAAAUCCCCGGGCUUAACCUGGGAACUGCAUUUGAUACUGCAAGGCUAGAGAUUGAGAGAGGUAAGUGGAAUUAUGAGUGUAGAGGUGAAAUUCGUAGAUAUUCAUAAGAACAUCAGUGGCGAAGGCGGCUUACUGGCUCAAUACUGACGCUAAGGCGCGAAAGCGUGGGGAGCAAACAGG
RNAcentral lists this ribosomal RNA (253 nucleotides) under uncultured bacterium. Its description in RNAcentral is "partial 16S ribosomal RNA". It matches the Rfam family "Bacterial small subunit ribosomal RNA", at positions 524 to 776 of the family's 1533-position model. The record is from RNAcentral.